RNAcentral lists this ribosomal RNA (497 nucleotides) under uncultured bacterium. Its description in RNAcentral is "partial 16S ribosomal RNA". It matches the Rfam family "Bacterial small subunit ribosomal RNA", at positions 28 to 507 of the family's 1533-position model. The record is from RNAcentral.
GAUGAACGCUGGCGGCGUGCCUAAUACAUGCAAGUCGAGCGAACAGACGAGGAGCUUGCUCCUCUGACGUUAGCGGCGGACGGGUGAGUAACACGUGGAUAACCUACCUAUAAGACUGGGAUAACUUCGGGAAACCGGAGCUAAUACCGGAUAAUAUAUUGAACCGCAUGGUUCAAUAGUGAAAGACGGUUUUGCUGUCACUUAUAGAUGGAUCCGCGCCGCAUUAGCUAGUUGGUAAGGUAACAGCUUACCAAGGCGACGAUGCGUAGCCGACCUGAGAGGGUGAUCGGCCACACUGGAACUGAGACACGGUCCAGACUCCUACGGGAGGCAGCAGUAGGGAAUCUUCCGCAAUGGGCGAAAGCCUGACGGAGCAACGCCGCGUGAGUGAUGAAGGUCUUCGGAUCGUAAAACUCUGUUAUUAGGGAAGAACAAAUGUGUAAGUAACUAUGCACGUCUUGACGGUACCUAAUCAGAAAGCCACGGCUAACUACGUG